RNAcentral lists this ribosomal RNA (301 nucleotides) under uncultured bacterium. RNAcentral's name for it is "partial 16S ribosomal RNA". It matches the Rfam family "Bacterial small subunit ribosomal RNA", at positions 509 to 807 of the family's 1533-position model. The record is from RNAcentral.
CAGCCGCCGCGGGAAUACGUAGGUGGCAAGCGUUGUCCGGAAUUAUUGGGCGUAAAGGGCUCGCAGGCGGUUUCUUGAGUCUGAUGUGAAAGCCCCCGGCUCAACCGGGGAGGGUCAUUGGAAACUGGGAAACUUGAGUGCAGAAGAGGAGAGUGGAAUUCCACGUGUAGCGGUGAAAUGCGUAGAGAUGUGGAGGAACACCAGUGGCGGAGGCGACUCUCUGGUCUGUAACUGACGCUGAGGAGCGAAAGCGUGGGGAGCGAACAGGAUUAGAUACCCCAGUAGUCCCUGUCUCUUAUAC